ACUCUUCAGCUGAUAUCCACUUGCUGACAAAUGAAUCUCUCUGGCCCCUGGACUGUGCCCUGAAACACAGCUUAAAACAGUUAAGUGCAUAGACAAUAUGCCACAACAUGGCACAGCUGUAGAUGGGAUGGGACAAAAAGAGGCAAUUGUUAGAGUAGUUACUGAGGUCACAAAUUCAAUUUUGGUUAGUGUUAUGGUUCAAUCAUGGGCUCUUAUUCAGACUGCCCAGGUUCAAAUCCUGGCUCUGCCAUUUCCUAGCUCCGAGGCCACUAGUACAGUUAAUUAAUCUCUCUGUUGUUCAAUAUUAUUCUAUGUUAAGUGUAGGUAAUAAUAUUAGUCAGGACAUAAGUUGUUGUCAGGAAUAAAUCGAGGUGUAUCAUGUAAGGGAUUAGCAAGCCCCUGGCACCUAGUAAGUGUUCAAUGAAAGUUAUCUAUUAUUGCCAGUGACUAGCAAAUUGAGACUUUGUAAUAUUUAUUUCCAUUCAAUUCUAUUCAACUGCAACAGUAUUACUGCAUAUCUAACAUGUUAAAGCAUUGUCCUACGUGUUGAGGGAUAAAAGUAUAACAAAAAUAUGGCUCUGACCUCAAAGAACUUAGCAUUGAUGGAGUGAAGUUAUACCUGGCUAACAGCAAUGAAGGUUUGAAAAUACCAGAACAGAGGCACAAACCAUGUUUACACACCAUUUGGGUUGAAGGAGAAUCUAUGAUUCUUACUUGAAGUGGAAAGGAAGAUGGUAGAGGACAACCAGCUGAUCAUUUGAGCUAAUCUUGGGAUGAUAAGUCAGAAUUAUUAGUAAAAAAAAGAUUGGAAGUGUGAGAGGCUAUUCUGAUGGAUUUUGGGGUGCAGGAAGAUGGGAAGUUGUAGGGAUUGUUCUGAGACUGACAAAUGGUCUGAUACACAUGAAGCAUGCAUCUUAUUUCAUGGGGAGCCUGCAUGACACAGAGAAAGGAGCAUCAGCUUUGGAGUCGGUUUGACCUGUGACUGGAUCUUUGUUCUGUCUCAAUAGACAUGGCCUGGCCAUGAUGCGGAACCUCACAUCCGUUAUAUGUGUAACGAUGAUGAUGAUAAUCACAUAUGUUCCAUAGUGUUGUUGUGGGCAUUUAUGGGAAUAAUAUAGGUAAAGCACUUGGCAUUUGAUAGCCACCAAUGAAUAUUUUCUUUGUGGAGCAGAGAGUAGGAGGUUUGCUCAGCAGUUUUUCAGAUAGCCCAAAUGCCAGCUGGAGCUCCCCUGUGCUCUGAGGCUUAGGGAAAAUAGACCCAAGCCCCCAGUGCACUUUCUAUGCUGUCUCCACAUUGCCAGGUCACUUCUGGUUCUGAGCUUCACCCUAACUCUCCUCGUGCCCCUUGCUUCUCUUCCAGAAGCUGUCCUUGAGCUGAGAACGGUAGGAUGAAGUUUUUUUUUUUCCCUAGGCAGAAUGAACAGUAAUCCCAGAGAUCCUGAGAUGAGAAAAGGGUGUUUGACUUAUUCAAAGAAGACCAAGGAAGCCCAAAGACCAGAGAAGAGUGCAGGAAAGGGGCGGCGGUCUGAGAUGCAGUCAGAGCAGUGGCAAGCCCCCAGAGUCUGUGGCAAAGACUUCAGGUUUCAUCCUGAAGAGGAAGACAGGUCUUUGGAGAGUUUUGAUCAAGGAAGUGAGAUGAAAUAUCUUAGGCUUACAAAGAACUACUCUGACAUCUAAAUGGAAAAUGGACUGAUGAAGCAAAAGAAGCCACAAGGAAGCCAGUUCAGAGGCUAUUGAAAUGCUCCAGCCCUAUAUUAGGUAUUGAGGGUUCAGGGAUGAACUAAGCUGAUCUGGUUCCUGCUCUCUAGGCUGUAGAAGAUGGCAAGUGCUGUGGACUUCAAAGAAAAGAUUUCUGAAGUGUCAUGUUAUGACAAUUGUGCAUCCAAGAUACAUUGGUUGUUUGCUUAACCAUCGUUUUCGCAUGUGCCAUCUGUCAAAGUCUGGAAGAAACCUAAGAUGUGUUGCAUUAAAUUUGAAGAUUCCUCCUGUUCAGAAGCAAGAAACAAACAAAAUCAAUAAGUACUCAUUAAUUAAGAAAACAGAGCAUUAUUAUGAAAUCAUACACAUGGAAAACUUAUCAACAAUAAAAAUAACGACAAACACCAUUACAUUCUCCUUUAUAGGAGACAAACAGUAUAAACCCCAAGGAAGAGUGAUUUCUCUAUGAUCUAGUAAGUUCUAAAAAUUAAAGUCCAACUAACUUUAAGGUA
RNAcentral lists this long non-coding RNA (2210 nucleotides) under Homo sapiens (human). RNAcentral's name for it is "HSALNT0393737". Lineage: Eukaryota; Metazoa; Chordata; Mammalia; Primates; Hominidae. The record is from RNAcentral.